GACGAACGCUGGCGGCGUGCUUAACACAUGCAAGUCGAACGGUAAGGCCUUUCGGGGUACACGAGUGGCGAACGGGUGAGUAACACGUGGGUGAUCUGCCCUGCACUUCGGGAUAAGCCCGGGAAACUGGGUCUAAUACCGGAUAGGACUGCGCGGUGCAUGCCGUGUGGUGGAAAGAUUUAUCGGUGCAGGAUGGGCCCGCGGCCUAUCAGCUUGUUGGUGGGGUAAUGGCCUACCAAGGCGACGACGGGUAGCCGGCCUGAGAGGGCGACCGGCCACACUGGGACUGAGACACGGCCCAGACUCCUACGGGAGGCAGCAGUGGGGAAUAUUGCACAAUGGGCGCAAGCCUGACGCAGCGACGCCGCGUGAGGGAUGACGGCCUUCGGGUUGUAAACCUCUUUCAGCAGGGACGAAGCGUGAGUGACGGUACCUGCAGAAGAAGCACCGGCCAACUACGUG
RNAcentral lists this ribosomal RNA (462 nucleotides) under uncultured bacterium. Its description in RNAcentral is "partial 16S ribosomal RNA". It matches the Rfam family "Bacterial small subunit ribosomal RNA", at positions 28 to 507 of the family's 1533-position model. The record is from RNAcentral.